RNAcentral lists this small RNA (2322 nucleotides) under Pan troglodytes (chimpanzee). RNAcentral describes it as "processed transcript". Lineage: Eukaryota; Metazoa; Chordata; Mammalia; Primates; Hominidae. The record is from RNAcentral.
AGAAAAAUGAUAUUUUAACGUUUUUAAUAUUUUUGUUACAUUGGGAAUGAUAUUUCUUUCUAAUUUUAAAAAAUGGUUUACCAUAUUCUUUUUUUUCUGCCACCUUUCUUUUCAGGCAUUUCCUGCUUAUCCAAAUUCAGCAGUUCAGGUCACCACUGGAUAUCAGUUCCAUGUAUACAAUUACCAGAUGCCACCGCAGUGGCCUGUUGGGGAGCAAAGGAGACAUAUCCUACUUAUCCAAAUUCACCAGGUCAGGUCACCACUGGGUGUCAGUUGCCUGUAUAUAAUUAUCAGAAAUCUGUGGACCGAAGCUUACAAAUGGUGGUAUCUUGUCUGUUUAAUCCAGAGAAGAGACUGAUAAAUUCCGUUGUUACUCAAGAUGACUGCUUCAAGGGUAAAAGAGUGCAUCGCUUUAGAAGAAGUUUGGCAGUAUUUAAAUCUGUUGGAUCCUCUCAGCUAUCUAGUUUCAUGGGAAGUUGCUGGUUUUGAAUAUUAAGCUAAAAGUUUUCCACUAUUACAGAAAUUCUGAAUUUUGGUAAAUCACACUGGGUAUAACUUGUAUUAUUAGACUCUCUAUUUUUAUCUUAACACUGAAACUGUUCUUCAUUAGAUGUUUAUUUAGAACCUGGUUCUGUGUUUAAUAUAUAGUUUAAAGUAACAAAUAAUCGCGACUGAAAGAAUGUUAAGAUUUAUCUGCAAGGAUUUUUAAAAAAUUGAAACUUGGAUUUUAAGUGUUUAAAAGCAAAUACUGAUUUUCAAAAAAGUUUUUAAAACCUGAUUUGAAAGCUAAGAAUUUUGAUAGUCUGAACACAAGCAUUUCACUUCUCCAAGAAGUACCUGUGAACAGUACAAUAUUUCAGUAUUGAGCUUUGCAUUUAUGAUUUAUCUAGAAAUUUACCUCAAAAGCAGAAUUUUUAAAACUGCAUUUUUAAUCAGUGGAACUCAAUGUAUAGUUAGCUUUAUUGAAGUCUUAUCCAAACCCAGUAAAACAGAUUCUAAGCAAACAGUCCAAUCAGUGAGUCAUAAUGUUUAUUCAAAGUAUUUUAUCUUUUAUCUAGAAUCCACAUAUGUAUGUCCAAUUUGAUUGGGAUAGUAGUUGGGAUAACUAAAAUUCUGGGCCUAAUUUUUUAAAGGAUCCAAGACAAACUAAACUUUACGGGGUAUAUAACCUUCUCAAUGAGUUACCAUUCUUCUUUUUUAUAAGAAAAAUUGUUCCUUGAAAUGCUAAACUUAAUGGCUGUAUGUGAAAUUUGCAAAAUACUGGUAUUAAAGAAUGCUGCAGCUUUUUUAUGUCACUCAAAGGUCAGUCAGAGUAUCUGAAAGGAAUUGUUUUUAUAAAAACAUUGAAGUAUUAGUUACUUGCUAUAAAUAGAUUUUUAUUUUUGUUUUUUAGCCUGUUAUAUUUCCUUUUGUAAAAUAAAAUAUGUCCAGAAGAGGCAAAAUAGGUAGUUUUGGUAUUUCUAAAUCACGAAAGUUGUUUAGUAAGUAUAUCUUAAGAAUCUGCUAGAGUUAAAGUUAAUGUUGUUUCUAGAUUAGGUAGUGUCCUCAUUUUAUAUUGUGACCACACAGCUAGAGCACCAGAGCCCUUUUGCUAUACUCACAGUCUUGUUUUCCCAGCCUCUUUUACUAGUCUUUCAGGAGGUUUGCUCUUAGAACUGGUGGUAUAAAGAAUGGAAGUAGCUGUAUGAGCAGUUCAAAGGCCAAGCCGUGGAAUGGUAGCAAUGGGAUAUAAUACCUUUCUAAGGGAAACAUUUGUAUCAGUAUCAUUUGAUCUGCCAUGGACAUGUGUUUAAAGUGGCUUUCUGGCCCUUCUUUCAAUGGCUUCUUCCCUAAAACGUGGUGACUCUAAGUUAAUGUCGUUACUAUGGGCCAUAUUACUAAUGCCCACUGGGGUCUAUGAUUUCUCAAAAUUUUCAUUCUGAAUCCGAAGGAUAGAGUCUUUAAACUUUAGAAUUCCCAAGAGGGCUUUAUUACACCUCAGAAAUUGAAAGCACCAUGAAUUUGUCUAUUAAAAAAUUAUCCAUAGUUUUUUUAGGGCUUUUAACAUUCUGACAUGCAUCAUUCUGUGAUUAAAUCUCCAGAUUUCUAUAAAUGAUACCUAUAUUCUAAAGAGUUAAUUCUAAUUAUUCCGAUAUGACCUUAAGGAAAAGUAAGGGAAUAAAUUUUUGUCUUUGUUGGAGUGAAGUAUUUAAUAGAGUAAGGUAAAGAAGAUAUUAAGUCCCUUUCAAAAUGGAAAAUUAAUUCUAAACUGAGAAAAAUGUUCCUACUACCUAUUGCUGAUACUGUCUUUGCAUAAAUGAAUAAAAAUAAACUUUUUUUCUU